GGCGCCUGUUUGCGCCUACCCUGUGACACAAGGCGGCCACCUCCCUUUUGACCGCAGCAUUCACGAAACUCUUGCCGGCAUGAAAAAAUUAAUGGGAACCAUAUUCCAACCAUAGCAAACGGCGGAUCGGAAGAGCGUAGUG
Molecule: long non-coding RNA, 142 nt
Organism: Vanessa atalanta (red admiral)
Lineage: Eukaryota; Metazoa; Arthropoda; Insecta; Lepidoptera; Nymphalidae
Exons: 3
Source: RefSeq, a predicted model, not a curated record